Molecule: ribosomal RNA, 719 nt
Filed under: Karenia mikimotoi
Lineage: Eukaryota; Dinophyceae; Gymnodiniales; Kareniaceae
Description: LSU rRNA
Rfam family: Eukaryotic large subunit ribosomal RNA
Source: RNAcentral
UAAGCGGAGGAUAAGAAACUAAAUAGGAUUCCCUCAGUAAUGGCGAAUGAACAGGGAUAAGCUCAGCAUGGAAAUUGGGGCCCUCGGCCUUGAAUUGUAGUCUUGAGAUGUGUUACCAACGGAGGCGCAGAUGUAAGCCUCUUGGAAAAGAGCGUCAGGGAGGGUGAGAGUCCCGUAUGUCAUCUGCAGUUCUCUGUGCACGGUGCAUGUUCUAAGAGUCACGUUCCUCGGGAUUGGAGCGCAAAUUGGGUGGUAAAUUUCAUCUAAAGCUAAAUAUUGGUUCGAGACCGAUAGCAAACAAGUACCAUGAGGGAAAGGUGAAAAGGACUUUGAAAAGAGAGUUAAAAGUGCCUGAAAUUGCUGAAAGGGAAGCGAAUGGAACCAGUUGUUCUUGGUGAGUAUUGGUGUUGUCUAAAGUGAUGGCUUGCCACUUCAACGCAAGUGUGGUGGCAGGUUUUGAUCUGGAUGCGAUACUGCUUCUCGCCUUGCAUGUCAACGUCAGUUCAUAAUUGAGGAAAACUCUAAGGACAUGGUAAUUCGCUUCCGAGUGACUGAAUGUCCUCAGUUGAACUCAUUUUUGAACUGCUCUCUGUGUGUCUGGUAGCACUGCUUCAUGUGCUUGCCUGCGAUCUUCUGCUCUGCAUGAAGGUUGUUGGUGCCAGGAGCAUGUCCUUGACAUUAGAACGAUGACGAAAUGGUUUUAUUCGACCCGUCUUGAA